AGAAUCAACGCUGGCGGCGUGCCUAACACAUGCAAGUCGAACGAGAAAGUGGAGCAAUACCAUGAGUAAAGUGGCGCACGGGUGAGUAACACGUGACUAACCUACCCUUGAGUGGGGGAUAACCUAGAGAAAUCUGGGACUAAUACCGCAUAAUACCUUCGGGUCCAAAGGAGCAAUUCGCUUAAGGAGGGGGUCGCGGCCGAUUAGUUAGUUGGCGGGGUAAUGGCCCACCAAGACUGUGAUCGGUA
This 248-nucleotide ribosomal RNA is filed under the name uncultured bacterium. Its description in RNAcentral is "partial small subunit ribosomal RNA". It matches the Rfam family "Bacterial small subunit ribosomal RNA", at positions 26 to 285 of the family's 1533-position model. The record is from RNAcentral.